UAGCGGCGGACGGGUGAGUAAUGCUUAGGAAUCUGCCUAUUAGUGGGGGACAACAUCUCGAAAGGGAUGCUAAUACCGCAUACGUCCUACGGGAGAAAGCAGGGGAUCACUUGUGACCUUGCGCUAAUAGAUGAGCCUAAGUCGGAUUAGCUAGUUGGUGGGGUAAAGGCCUACCAAGGCGACGAUCUGUAGCGGGUCUGAGAGGAUGAUCCGCCACACUGGGACUGAGACACGGCCCAGACUCCUACGGGAGGCAGCAGUGGGGAAUAUUGGACAAUGGGGGGAACCCUGAUCCAGCCAUGCCGCGUGUGUGAAGAAGGCCUUAUGGUUGUAAAGCACUUUAAGCGAGGAGGAGGCUCUUUUGGUUAAUACCCAAGAUGAGUGGACGUUACUCGCAGAAUAAGCACCGGCUAACUCUGUGCCAGCAGCCGCGGUAAUACAGAGGGUGCAAGCGUUAAUCGGAUUUACUGGGCGUAAAGCGCGCGUAGGCGGCCAAUUAAGUCAAAUGUGAAAUCCCCGAGCUUAACUUGGGAAUUGCAUUCGAUACUGGUUGGCUAGAGUGUGGGAGAGGAUGGUAGAAUUCCAGGUGUAGCGGUGAAAUGCGUAGAGAUCUGGAGGAAUACCGAUGGCGAAGGCAGCCAUCUGGCCUAACACUGACGCUGAGGUGCGAAAGCAUGGGGAGCAAACAGGAUUAGAUACCCUGGUAGUCCAUGCCGUAAACGAUGUCUACUAGCCGUUGGGGCCUUUGAGGCUUUAGUGGCGCAGCUAACGCGAUAAGUAGACCGCCUGGGGAGUACGGCCGCAAGGUUAAAACUCAAAUGAAUUGACGGGGGCCCGCACAAGCGGUGGAGCAUGUGGUUUAAUUCGAUGCAACGCGAAGAACCUUACCUGGUCUUGACAUCCACAGAACUUAGCAGAGAUGCUUUGGUGCCUUCGGGAACUGUGAGACAGGUGCUGCAUGGCUGUCGUCAGCUCGUGUUGUGAAAUGUUGGGUUAAGUCCCGCAACGAGCGCAACCCUUAUCCUUUGUUGCCAGCGGUUAGGCCGGGAACUCAAAGGAGACUGCCAGUGAUAAACUGGAGGAAGGUGGGGAUGACGUCAAGUCAUCAUGGCCCUUACGACCAGGGCUACACACGUGCUACAAUGGCGCAUACAAAGAGAAGCGACCUCGCGAGAGCAAGCGGACCUCAUAAAGUGCGUCGUAGUCCGGAUUGGAGUCUGCAACUCGACUCCAUGAAGUCGGAAUCGCUAGUAAUCGUAGAUCAGAAUGCUACGGUGAAUACGUUCCCGGGCCUUGUACACACCGCCCGUCACACCAUGGGAGUGGGUUGCAAUAAGAAGUAGGUAG
Molecule: ribosomal RNA, 1347 nt
Filed under: Acinetobacter sp. RJ08
Lineage: Bacteria; Pseudomonadati; Pseudomonadota; Gammaproteobacteria; Moraxellales; Moraxellaceae
Description: bacterial SSU rRNA
Rfam family: Bacterial small subunit ribosomal RNA
Source: RNAcentral